AAAUGAUUUAUAGUUGGGGAGAAUUUAUGAUCAAAGGAUUGUCUCCAAUAGGGUAUAUCUGAGGUUCCAUACCAGGAGCGUCAUUAAAAUUGAUGCCAAUUUUAUGAAAUAUGUUCAUUUUGAAGCAGAUGUGUAUUAGUAGACAAGCCAAUAAUUUAAACAUACUCAAUGAAAAUUCCAUAGUGCAAUUUUAUCUAAGGUAUUUUAUGAUUACUCUCUUAGAGCCACAGUUUUAAGCAGCUUUUUCCUAAACUAGGCUCGUUAUUAAUUUUCAACACUUCAUACUAUGAUGAAGACAUCACAUACUUUAGACAGCCUUAAUAGAACAAAUUAUUCAACAAAGUUGAUUAUACGUUCUAUAAAGUAAAUCACAUUCUCUCAUUGAGUGAGCUGAGUCUUUUUGAGUGUGGGGACAGAGUCCCUGCAGUCAGGAGCUCCAAGGCAUAGAACUGCCUGCCCUGCUCUGUCCAGCAGGUAAUGCUGCAUUCCACAGGCCUCUUCUUCAGCCUUGCCCACUCAGCAGAGUACCUCAGGUUGUGACCAUGAACGACUGAUGAGAGUAACUUCUGACUUGCUCAGGGGAUCCUCUUGCCAUCAAUUCCCUUCAGUAUGACCAACCGCAGUGGCUUACUCGCUUCUUGUCCAGACCAUCCACCAUCUGUCUGCCCCAUGAUGCUCUCAAACCCCAAAGUCCUAAUAUCCCAGGCCUCUUUGUCUGUGAGAGGAAAUGGUUCCCUCACUUUAAGUUCUGUAGGCUAAUCAGAAAGGGAUCUCUCUAUAGUUUCAAAAAGUGAAAUUUUACUUGCACUACAGAAAUAAGAAACUUACAGAUUUGUCCUUGAAGACCUACUAACCUGCAACUUUAGGGUCCUGAAAGAGGAUUAGUAUGUUUAUAAGUACUUUUAUUACAGUAUUUUUUAUUUGUUUCGGAGACAGGGUCUUGCUCUGUUGCCCAAGCUGAAGUGCAGUGGUGCAAUCACAGCCUGCUGCAGCCUUGGCCUCGCAGGCUCAAUCAAUCCUCCUGCUUCAGCCUCCUAAGCAGCUGGGAACACAGGCUCAUGCCACCACAUCUAGCUAAUUUUUAUUUUUUGAUAGAGAUGAGGUCUCACUGUGUUGUCCAGGCUGGUCUCAAAUUCCUGGACUCAAGCAAUCCUCCCACCUCGGCCUCCCAAAUGCUGGGAUUACAGGCAUGAGCCACUGCGCCCAGCCUUCUACUUGGGAGGCUGAAGCAGUAGGAUCACUUGAGCCCAGGAGCUUGAGGCUGCAGAGGUCGAGGCUGUAGUGAGCUGUGAUUGCACCACUGCACUCCAGCUUGGGUGACAGACUGAGACCCU
This 1334-nucleotide long non-coding RNA is filed under the name Homo sapiens (human). Its description in RNAcentral is "HSALNT0238352". Lineage: Eukaryota; Metazoa; Chordata; Mammalia; Primates; Hominidae. The record is from RNAcentral.